Molecule: ribosomal RNA, 778 nt
Filed under: uncultured Neocallimastigales
Lineage: Eukaryota; Fungi; Neocallimastigomycota; Neocallimastigomycetes; Neocallimastigales
Description: partial large subunit ribosomal RNA
Rfam family: Eukaryotic large subunit ribosomal RNA
Source: RNAcentral
UACGACUACAUAUCAGGCAUAUCAAUAAGCGGAGGAAAAGAAACUAACAAGGAUUCCCUUAGUAACGGCGAGUGAAGCGGGAAGAGCUCAAAUUUGAAAUCUUCAAGGUUUUACCUUGACGAAUUGUAGUUUAAAGAAGUGUUUUCUGUUGAAGUUUUGGUAAAAGUUCUUUGGAAUAGGACAUCAUAGAGGGUGAGAAUCCCGUAUUUGACCAUUAUUUUCAGCUGUGUGAUACACUUUCAAAGAGUCGGAUUGUUUGGGAAUGCAGUCCAAAAUGGGUGGUAAAUUUCAUCUAAAGCUAAAUAUUGGCGAGAGACCGAUAGCGAACAAGUACCGUGAGGGAAAGAUGAAAAGAACUUUGAAAAGAGAGUUAAACAGUACGUGAAAUUGUCAAAAGGGAAGCGUUUGACACCAGUGUUGUUUUCUCGAAAAUCAAUUGAAAAAGGCGUGGAUUUUGUGUUGUAUUGACCUUUAAUCAGCUUGCUUCACUCUUUUCAUUGUCUUUUUUUAUGCACUUUUCGUUUAACAAGUCAACAUCAGUUUCUUUUGUUGUAAAAGGGUCAUUGGAAGGUGGCUUUCUCUUCGGAGAAAGUGUUUAUAGCCUUUGAUCUCUGCAAUCGGAGAGACUGAGGUCUGCAGCGUAGAUCCUUCGGGGUUAGAUACAUUUGUGCUAAGCUACAGCUUUUCAUAGACAACUUGUUGACUAUGUUUAGUCAUGUGGCUUACCCGCUGGCGCUAUUUUACCUACGCUUAGGAUGUUGAGCGCAUGUCUCUCUCU